This 425-nucleotide ribosomal RNA is filed under the name uncultured Clostridium sp. Its description in RNAcentral is "bacterial SSU rRNA". It matches the Rfam family "Bacterial small subunit ribosomal RNA", at positions 355 to 794 of the family's 1533-position model. The record is from RNAcentral. Lineage: Bacteria; Bacillati; Bacillota; Clostridia; Eubacteriales; Clostridiaceae.
UGGGGAAUAUUGGGCAAUGGGGGAAACCCUGACCCAGCAACGCCGCGUGAAGGAAGAAGGCCCUCGGGUUGUAAACUUCUUUUACCAGGGACGAAGGACGUGACGGUACCUGGAGAAAAAGCAACGGCUAACUACGUGCCAGCAGCCGCGGUAAUACGUAGGUUGCAAGCGUUGUCCGGAUUUACUGGGUGUAAAGGGCGUGUAGGCGGAGAUGCAAGUUGGGAGUGAAAUCUAUGGGCUCAACCCAUAAACUGCUUCCAAAACUGUAUCCCUUGAGUAUCGGAGAGGCAAGCGGAAUUCCUAGUGUAGCGGUGAAAUGCGUAGAUAUUAGGAGGAACACCAGUGGCGAAGGCGGCUUGCUGGACGACAACUGACGCUGGGGCGCGAAAGCGUGGGGAGCAAACAGGAUUAGAUACCCUGGUAGU